AGAAGCUGGUUGUUUUGUGAUAGGAACACAUGCAGUUCCAUCAUCAUCUGGAGCUGUUAAUCACAUCCAAAAGUUAUAAACCAUUUUAAAAAAAAAAAUCUAGACACAAUAUGAACUUGGUCAAUUAUAACAAAAUAAACAAAACAAAAGGUAUAAUAAAUCAUCAUGUGUAGUUUAGUAUGAGAGAGAAAGCAAGAAUCGUGAGAUUAUGAUAUGUUCCAAAAUCAACUCAAGCAGAAAAAAAAUACUCAAAAAGAAUAAGAUGAUAGAUUUAUCUAACCUGAAUGAUCUAGACGACAGGUUUGUUCAGCCUAUUCAAAUGCUUCUUCACUUUGAACUUCUGCUUAGAUAUGCCAAACCUUGCGGCUUAGGAUAGUGAAAAGAACCUCCACAGCCAUAAAUACAGUAUGGAACUUCCAGUUAGCUUCUCCUUGCUAAGAUGCAUCCAUAAUAGAUUUAAAUUGU
Molecule: long non-coding RNA, 465 nt
Filed under: Brassica napus (rape)
Lineage: Eukaryota; Viridiplantae; Streptophyta; Magnoliopsida; Brassicales; Brassicaceae
Description: long non-coding RNA (BNAP_LNC021522)
Source: RNAcentral